This 479-nucleotide ribosomal RNA is filed under the name uncultured Alphaproteobacteria bacterium. RNAcentral describes it as "bacterial SSU rRNA". It matches the Rfam family "Bacterial small subunit ribosomal RNA", at positions 38 to 561 of the family's 1533-position model. Lineage: Bacteria; Pseudomonadati; Pseudomonadota; Alphaproteobacteria. The record is from RNAcentral.
GGCGGCAGGCUUAACACAUGCAAGUCGAGCGCCCGUAGCAAUACGGGAGCGGCAGACGGGAGAGUAACACGUGGGAACAUGCCCUUCGGUUCGGAAUAACUCAGGGAAACUUGAGCUAAUACCGGAUACGCCCUUACGGGGAAAGAUUUAUUGCCGAAGGAUCGGCCCGCGUCCGAUUAGCUAGUUGGUGAGGUAAUGGCUCACCAAGGCGACGAUCGGUAGCUGGUCUGAGAGGAUGAUCAGCCUCAUUGGGACUGAGACACGGCCCAAACUCCUACGGGAGGCAGCAGUGGGGAAUAUUGGACAAUGGGCGCAAGCCUGAUCCAGCCAUGCCGCGUGGGUGAUGAAGGCCUUAGGGUUGUAAAGCCCUUUCGGCGGGGAAGAUAAUGACGGUACCCGCAGAAGAAGCCCCGGCUAACUUCGUGCCAGCAGCCGCGGUAAUACGAAGGGGGCUAGCGUUGCUCGGAAUCACUGGGCGU